CAUUAAGAAUCAUCUAGUCAACUUGAAGGUAUUUGUUUUGUUGGAAAAGCUUUCCAAUAGGAAAAGUCUCAUAAGUCAGCACAGUUGAAUGUCUGAGGCUUGAGUUAUUAGCAAUUUUCGAAGAAAGCUUCAAACAGAAUUGUGGGAGGAGGUAGUAAAUCCUUGAUGCACAAGUUUUGCUCUUGCAAUCUUUCACCAUAUUCUGUUGUCUUACUUCGUUUUAGAGCAAUUGGAUUGUGUGAUUUUGUUGGCUUUCACCAGAGAUCGGUUCGUUCAUGGUCGUGUUAGGUAUGGUUUGUUCCAGACUUCAAGGAAUCAAGUGAUCAUGACACACGGUUCCUUAUCACCCAUGGCGGGAUGCCCUGGUGUUCCUCAAUCCUUCACUUAUGUUAUUAUAUGGGAAUCUUUUAGAUCUACUUGUUUUGAUGAUUCCCUCGAUUGGAGCACUGCUGAUUGGAGCCGUUCCACAUUAAUUGGAUGGUCUUAUUGCUGAUGUCAAAUGGUCUUGAGCCUUGUAGAUGAAAUCAAUGUUGCAGAGUCUCAUUGCUUGAUUGGCCGAGUAAAAUUCUUAGGAGGUUAUGGGAUGUUGAUAAGUUUGCUUAUCUCUUCAGGUGUUUCUCAUCGCUAGCCUAGGUAGCUGGUAGUCUCAGCAGAGUCAAACUAAAGUGGAUGAACUAGCUAUUAAAAACCGGGGUUUCAUCAGUUUGAUAUGGGAAACCUUCAGCAUGUCUUAUAUAAAGAAGUCAGAAAGACAUUGAGCUAGCAGUCCUUUAGCAGAUGGAUGUGGAACAAAUGCCUGUCGAAAAAGUUGAAGGAGAUGCUAAUGCUACCGGGUUGCUAGAGAGAGGGUACUUGUAGUACGAAUGUCCUCGUUACUAGUGAAGGUGCAGCAUUACAGCCCCCUGUUGCAGCAAGAUCUUCAAUUGCCAUCACUGUCAUAAUGAUGUGAAGACAUUCAAGCGGUAUCAUUAAAUUAUGUCUUGAGUCUGAGUCAUUUAUGGAAUCCAACCAGAUUGAAUAAAUAUCCAAGUUUGACAGCACAAUAAAAUUGAAGAGUUGGACUGACCUUUGCCGAAGGUUGGACGAAUGAGAGGAAAGAAGUCCCCUACCACUGCAAGACAAAAGGGGUUCCUCGUUGUGAGAAUGGCCGCCAGUGGCUUCUUUCUUUGAGAAGCGUGGAGUGGGCUCCUUCAACAAAGUGUAG
This is a long non-coding RNA of Eucalyptus grandis, 1204 nucleotides long. RefSeq lists it as uncharacterized. The transcript has 3 exons. The record is from RefSeq and is a predicted model, not a curated record. NCBI's taxonomy places the organism in Eukaryota, Viridiplantae, Streptophyta, Magnoliopsida, Myrtales, Myrtaceae.